AGACAGAGUCCUCAUCAGCUUCAAUUACAAGUAUUAAGCCCCCGGACAGCACUUUGACAGAGAGGCGGCCAGUCCCAACUCCUUCCCGCCCCCCUAAAUCAUCCCCGAAUUAACAUCACAAUCGGCGGCUGGCGCGCGUUCAGAUUUAAAUGGUGGCAUAUUGUUCGCGGACGGUCUAGUUCAGACCAGCGGGUUCUCAGUUCCCGGCGGCAGCCCCGGCCGCUCCCCCCACUGCCCCCUCCUGCCUCCCGGGAGGCUGUGACUCAGGAGCCGUGGGAGGCUCCGGAGCCCGGUCUCCAGCAGCGGAGGCUGCAGGCGGGGGUGCACCGGGGUGGGGGCGAGCGGACUGCGAUCUCCGGGACCUCAUUUCUGCCUAGCAACAUCACAACCAAUCAAGAUGCAACUAGGCCUAGCAGUUCGGCUCAUCCUUCACUGGGAUUGGCUGCUGGCGGUGAGCGCAUCCUAAGUUUUCAUUGGCUGACGGCCACCUGUAUGGAAAUGAGAAUGAUAGGGCACUUCUCAGCGCCUUCUCUGCGACGUGGACCUGUGGCUUACUGCACUGAAACCUGCAAGCUCAGAGCCAGAACUCCGGGGCUUUUUUUCUGCCUCUCUCCCUGUUCUUCCCCCAAAGCGAUAUCUCAAACUUUCCCCUCAGCCCCUCUGUCUGAGGCUCAGUCGGAAAGAAAUUCGCAAAAAAGAAGGCGAAUUUGUAUGCUUUUUUGCAUUUUCGUUGCCUUCUCUCGGUUCUGUAUCAAGAUUUUGCCCCUUCCGUCCAAUGCUGUGACAGUUUUUGCUCCUUUCUCGCUUCCAUGUCCAUCCAAGGGGCGGCUUCUCUCCGUGUAGAGUCCCUCAGUCCCUGCCCCCUGUUGCCUCAAACCCUCCCUUCGGGCUCAGCUCCACCAAAUUCCCAAUUGCCCCCUUCCUCCCUCUCAGGAUCCAGGCGCCUCGCACAACAGUCUAAAGCCUAGUUUAGAAGGGAGUUAGAGAGGGAGAGGACUCCCCCACCUCCCCCCCAAAAAACCUCCAUCCUCGCUCCCCAUCCAUUUUCUCCGAGGGAGCCGAGUUUGACAGCGAAUUCAUUCCGAGAGGGGAGGGUGAUUUAUUCUUCAAAUAUACCGACAAGUGCGGGCAUGAUGGAGCCCAUUAAAAUGUUGGGAGAUUGUUUUUAUGAUUGAAGUCUGUAUUACUCCAACCAUAAAGAAAGAGAGCAAGGAGUCAUUAGCAUUUUCAUGAUGGUGUAUUUCUGCUUGUCUCCGCGCCAUCACUCAUCUUUACUGCCCGUCCCUUUGCUCUCGCUCUGCUACAACGAGGAGAGACUGCAGCCUGAGUUGGGGUUGGGGGUGGGGGGAGGCGGGGGCCAGAGAUCCCCUCGCCACUCUGCCCUUCACGCCGAAUCCUCACCCUCCCUGGGACGCAGAUCAUGGGGUGAGAGGCCGAACGCAGACAAUGAUGUGCCUCAGCUUUCUCCAGCCU
Long non-coding RNA from Cervus hanglu yarkandensis (Yarkand deer), 1473 nucleotides. NCBI's taxonomy places the organism in Eukaryota, Metazoa, Chordata, Mammalia, Artiodactyla, Cervidae. The record is from Ensembl.